CAGUCGCCGCGGUAAUACGAAGGGGGCUAGCGUUGCUCGGAAUGACUGGGCGUAAAGGGCGCGUAGGCGGCGAUCAAAGUCAGGCGUGAAAUUCCUGGGCUCAACCUGGGGGCUGCGCUUGAUACUUGGUUGCUUGAGUGGGGAAGAGGGUCGUGGAAUUCCCAGUGUAGAGGUGAAAUUCGUAGAUAUUGGGAAGAACACCGGUGGCGAAGGCGGCGACCUGGUCCUUGACUGACGCUGAGGCGCGAAAGCGUGGGGAGCAAACAGGAUUAGAGACCCCAGUAGUCCCUGUCUCUUAUAC
This 301-nucleotide ribosomal RNA is filed under the name uncultured bacterium. Its description in RNAcentral is "partial 16S ribosomal RNA". It matches the Rfam family "Bacterial small subunit ribosomal RNA", at positions 509 to 807 of the family's 1533-position model. The record is from RNAcentral.